Molecule: non-coding RNA, 30 nt
Filed under: Mus musculus (house mouse)
Lineage: Eukaryota; Metazoa; Chordata; Mammalia; Rodentia; Muridae
Also listed under: 1 other name
Source: RNAcentral
UGGGAAAGCCACUACUUUCUCUUUUCUGAU